AUGAGUGAUCAUAGGGAUAAAAAUGGUGUUAUUGUAGAAGAAUUUAUAGAUAAAUAUGAGUUAGUAGUGUUAAAUGAUCGAAGGCCAACUAGGUAUCAUAUUGUCAGAAAUACCUGCAGUCAUAUAGAUUUGUCAAUUGCUUCGUCAAACUUAGCUAGAGUUGGUGAAUGGGAUGUUAUAGACACGUAUACAUUGGGUAGUGAUCAUUAUCCUAUUUUAUGCAGGUUUGGUAGGGAUUUGAGGAGCGAAGUGGAAAAGAAAGCCCCUAGAUAUAACUUUUCUCAGGCUAAAUGGGAUAAAUGUCAGGAGAGGGUUCAGAGCUUAGUAGGAGAGAUUGAUAGUGAGGGUACUGUAGAUAGUUGGAAUACAUCCAUUAGUCUCAUGAUACAUGAGGCCGCUUGUGGUACCAUUCCUCUGAAGCAGGAACCUAGGACUCGUAAGCUGGUUCCUUGGUGGAAUAAUGAAUGUGAUCAAGCUGUAAGGAAUAGGAAUAGAGCAUAUAGAAGAUUAAGAAAGUUUCCAAUGUUGGUUAAUGUAAUGGAGUACAAGCGGCUAAGGGCAGUAGCAAGAAGAGUUAUAAAGGAUGCAAAGAGGAAUAGUUGGAGGAAGUUUUGUGGUACGCUAGGCCCUGAGACUCCUGUAAGGCAUUUGUGGUCUGCAAUACGUAGAAUGUCAGGGGUAUAUAAAAUAAGAUUGAUACCAGUAUUACAGAAAGGUGAGACAGUAGCAGUUUCCAAUAAGGAAAAAGCAGACAUGUGUGUUGAUAGUUUUCAAGCAGUGCAGUUAGAAAACGAUAAUCCUAUUAAUCUGUUUUUUACUAUAAAAGAGCUGAAGGAUGCAAUUAUGUCUGGGGCAAAUACUACCCCGGGGAGAGAUAGGUUGUCUUAUGAGUUUUUUAAGCAUCCGGAUGAUAUUGUACUUGAUGAAAUCUUAGCUUUGUUUAAUAUGGUGUGGGCAGAGGGUUAUUUGCCCAAGGAAUGGAAACAUGCAGUUGUGGUCCCUAUCUUGACGCCAGGCAAAGAUCCAUCUGACCCUAGUUCAUACCGCCCUAUAGCGCUCACAGCAGUGGAGAGUAAUGGAGAAGAUGGUAACCAACAGACUAGUGUGCUUCAUAGAAACCAGACGACUCUUUGUUGA
Molecule: long non-coding RNA, 1137 nt
Filed under: Dicentrarchus labrax (European seabass)
Lineage: Eukaryota; Metazoa; Chordata; Actinopteri; Moronidae
Description: lncRNA (ENSDLAG00005028353.1)
Source: RNAcentral